This 237-nucleotide long non-coding RNA is filed under the name Mytilus galloprovincialis (Mediterranean mussel). Lineage: Eukaryota; Metazoa; Mollusca; Bivalvia; Mytilida; Mytilidae. The record is from RNAcentral.
CGAAUUAAGGAGGUAGACCUAGGUUAAGGGAAAUAACUCUUAAAAUCAUUAGUACGUUUGUGUCAACCAUUUUCAAAAAUAUAUUCUAAGCUUCUAGGUUACAUAGAUUAUUUUCAAUCUGUUUCAGGUGAAUGCUUAAAAUACAUUGAUGAACUUGACUUUUACAAACGCUUAACUGAUUUAAAGAGUUAUCUCCCUGAACCAAGGUCUACUCCCUUAAAUUAAUUCGAAUUAGUU